UGCCAUCGACGCCUGGCCCUACCCUGGGCUACCC
Molecule: small RNA, 34 nt
Filed under: Bombyx mori (domestic silkworm)
Lineage: Eukaryota; Metazoa; Arthropoda; Insecta; Lepidoptera; Bombycidae
Description: ovarian small RNA-33702
Source: RNAcentral